RNAcentral lists this long non-coding RNA (347 nucleotides) under Capsicum annuum. Its description in RNAcentral is "long non-coding RNA (CANN_LNC014541)". The record is from RNAcentral. Lineage: Eukaryota; Viridiplantae; Streptophyta; Magnoliopsida; Solanales; Solanaceae.
AAAAUUUCAUGCACAUCAUCAUAACCUCUCAAUACAAACCCAAUAUGUCCAUUGAAAUCCCAUCUAUUAAAAAACAUCUCAGUGCUCGAGGAAGCCACACACCACUUCAUCCAAACCCUCCCGAAAGAUUUUUUUCUCCUCCCAUCCAAUCCUACUUAUGAAGCAUAGGCCCUAAUAACAUUCAAUGUAUACCCUCUAGUGACCAACUUAAUCAACAUUAAACUAUCAUUAGCAUAGUUAACCUCCACCAGCUGCCCCCUAAGCUCUUCAUCUUCAAAUAUACCUACCCUAUUUCUAUGCCUCAUACUACUCAAGUACCACAACUUAUACCUAUCCAUAUCCCUCGC